RNAcentral lists this transfer RNA (62 nucleotides) under Paphia euglypta. Its description in RNAcentral is "tRNA-Leu". Lineage: Eukaryota; Metazoa; Mollusca; Bivalvia; Venerida; Veneridae. The record is from RNAcentral.
AUUAGGGUGUCAGAUAAAUGUGUUAAAUUUAGGAUUUAAUUAUGGGUACACUCCCCCUAAUA